CCAUCUCCGCACCCAGGAUCUGAACCGGUGAACCCUGGGCCGCCGAAGCAGAAAGUGUGCACUUAACCGCUGCGCCCCGGUGCUGGCACCAAGAAGAAAGGCUUCUGUCACCAGGAAUAGAACUUGGGCCACGGCGAGAAAGAAUCUGCUGCCUCAAACCGUGCUGCUAUAUCCAAAGGUGACCUCUAAAUGAACUGAAGCUUAAAUGUAAAGGUGGCUAACAGAAAAAAGGGUCAAAUCAGAGUGUAACCCUGUGGCCCUGGACCUUAAAAGCAUAAACUGUAAGAUUUUUUAAAAAGUGAUAUAUUUGACGAACUCAAAACCUUAAGGUCUACAUCAACAUGAAGUCUUCACUCAAAUCAUGAUAGUAAAAAGCCAAAUAACUAACCGGCAUAGAAAGAUGCUCAACUUCAUCAGAAAGGACUGAAUGCAAAUUAAAAUGAAAUACCACUUUACAUCCAUCAGUUUGGAAACAUGAGCAGGUACAAACAUAUAAUAUGUUGGCAAGGACGUGAGGAAGAGGAGUCUUCAGCUACUGCCGGCGGGAUAUAGGCUGGCACAGCCUUUCCACGCAGUGAUCUGGCAGCACUUCGUGACUCCAGAAUGUAUGUUCUUGAUGACCCCGCAAAUCCUACUCUUGAGGACAUUCCCUGAGAGUACAGAAAUGUUUCUCACAUCAUUGUUAGUGGUAACACAAAGGAAGACACAGUCCACUUCUUUUUUAUGCAAUACAAAAUUCUGUAGAACCAGACUAUGAAAAUAUAUCUCUUCUCUCUAUACACCUUUUUUUUUUUAAAACACAGUCUAUCACAAACUUUCUGUAGAGAAUUAGAGUAUGUCUGCCAACCUGAAGUACAAAAUAAAAAUAAAGUCUCAUAUUGGCAAAUUAC
Non-coding RNA from Equus caballus (horse), 890 nucleotides. The record is from RefSeq and is a predicted model, not a curated record. Lineage: Eukaryota; Metazoa; Chordata; Mammalia; Perissodactyla; Equidae.